RNAcentral lists this ribosomal RNA (497 nucleotides) under uncultured bacterium. RNAcentral describes it as "partial 16S ribosomal RNA". It matches the Rfam family "Bacterial small subunit ribosomal RNA", at positions 28 to 507 of the family's 1533-position model. The record is from RNAcentral.
GAUGAACGCUGGCGGCGUGCCUAAUACAUGCAAGUCGAGCGAACAGAUGAGGAGCUUGCUCCUCUGACGUUAGCGGCGGACGGGUGAGUAACACGUGGAUAACCUACCUAUAAGACUGGGAUAACUUCGGGAAACCGGAGCUAAUACCGGAUAAUAUAUUGAACCGCAUGGUUCAAUAGUGAAAGACGGUUUUGCUGUCACUUAUAGAUGGAUCCGCGCCGCAUUAGCUAGUUGGUAAGGUAACGGCUUACCAAGGCAACGAUGCGUAGCCGAACUGAGAGGGUGAUCGGCCACCCUGGAACGGAGACACGGUCCAGACUCCUACGGGACGCAGCAGUCGGGAAUCUUACGCAAUGGGCGAAAGCCUGACGGAGCAACGCCGCGUGAGUGAUGAAGGUCUUCGGAUCGUAAAACUCUGUUAUUAGGGAAGAACAAAUGUGUAAGUAACUAUGCACGUCUUGACGGUACCUAAUCAGAAAGCCACGGCUAACUACGUG